This 1232-nucleotide unclassified non-coding RNA is filed under the name Bombus terrestris (buff-tailed bumblebee). RNAcentral describes it as "misc RNA ENSBTSG00005023768.1". Lineage: Eukaryota; Metazoa; Arthropoda; Insecta; Hymenoptera; Apidae. The record is from RNAcentral.
AUUUGAAACAUACCUCAUUAUGACUUGGCGUUGUCGGUAAUACUCUCUGUGGAAAACCAGGCCUUGGUGCCAUGUAUACAGAUGGUGAUGACAAAAGGCAUGGAAGUUGAGUAUCGCGUACGCCAUAACGUCGUGGACUUUCAGAAUAUUGUGCUAUUGGUAAUUCACCAAUUACUCUUGUUACUUUGUGAUUAUGUUCUGAAGAUGAUAAAACAAGCAAAUAAAAAUAGGCACCUUAAAAAAUUCUGAAGUAUUACGAUGAUAUGCCGUUGUUGGGCUCGGUGUACUUCCAAUGCUAGAACUUAAGGGUUCUGGAGGAAUGCGACCUCUUUGAGAUUCCUCAAUUUCGAGGCUUAAAUUAGUUGGUGUAACUUGAUUGGUAUUAUUAGAAGUUAAGUCUAGUCGCAAAUUUUGCCAAUUAUCAUCAAUGUCAUCAAAGACAACUACUUCACCAUCACUAACGAUAGCCAUGCUUCUUGCUGGCGUAGUGUGAUUUGAUUGAUAAUCUAUGCAGCUUUUUGACAAUCCAUAAUCAAGAUCCGCAGUAUUUUUUGAUAUACCAUAUUCUACAUUAUUGCUAUUCAAAAUUGAGUCAUAGUUAAUAAUACGAUUGCUGUGAUUGCUCUUAGGGGAAUCAUAGUCAAUAGAUUUUGUUGGAUUAUGUCGCACCGAAUGUAUUUCUGAAGAAAAUACAGUUUCUGUGACUUCUCUAUUAGAACGCUGCUUUCUUGUAUCACCGCAUCUAAAAUUUCAGUCAUAUAUAAUUUGUAUUAUUAUAUACAAUCCUCCAUUAGGAAAAUAAUACACAACUAAUUUAUUAAAUAUGAUAGUCGUAUGAAUAAAUGAAAUUUUUCUUGUUCAAUUUUAUCAUAUAUUUUGUGUAUUAGAAGUAGAUAAUAGUUUUCAAAUUACCGGCUUCUUAAUUCCCAUAUAGUUUGAGUGUUUGGUGAUUUAUUAUUUCUUUUAACUGAUAGCUUGUUAUCUGUUUGAAUGUCUUCAUUAUUUAAGGAAUUUGAUGCCGCAAGAAAGCGUGAUUUUCUAGCUGCUACUUUACCUCGACUCUGAGAAAAAACUUCUCGUCCACCAGCAAUUUCUAUAAUUCUAAAAAAAUAAUAAAUAUUUAAAUUAACGUUUAAAAUACUAUUUGUAAAAACUACUUUUUAUAAAUUAAAUUGUUAUAUAGUAAGUUAAAAAUAUAUAUAUAAAAAUAUAAAACAAUAGAUUUGUAGAAA